RNAcentral lists this ribosomal RNA (444 nucleotides) under Triticum aestivum (bread wheat). RNAcentral describes it as "partial small subunit ribosomal RNA". The record is from RNAcentral. Lineage: Eukaryota; Viridiplantae; Streptophyta; Magnoliopsida; Poales; Poaceae.
AUGGCCGGAAGGAAGGGCGGCGACAGGAAGAAGGCGGUGACCAGGUCCGUCAAGGCCGGGCUCCAGUUCCCCGUCGGCCGCAUCGGGCGCUACCUCAAGAAGGGCCGCUACGCGCAGCGCGUCGGCUCCGGCGCCCCCGUCUACCUCGCCGCCGUCCUCGAGUACCUCGCUGCCGAGGUCCUGGAGCUUGCCGGCAACGCUGCCAAGGACAACAAGAAGACCCGAAUCAUCCCGCGCCACCUGCUGCUCGCCGUCCGCAACGACCAGGAGCUCGGCAAGCUGCUCGCCGGCGUCACCAUCGCCCACGGUGGCGUGAUCCCCAACAUCAACUCCGUGCUGCUCCCCAAGAAGUCCCCCGCCGCCGCUGAGAAGGAGGCCAAGUCGCCCAAGAAGAAGACCACCACCAAGUCCCCCAAGAAGAAGACCGCCGCCACCAAGGAGUAG